AUUGAACGCUGGCGGCAGGCCUAACACAUGCAAGUCGAGCGGAGCGGCGGACGGGUGAGUAAUGCCUAGGCAUCUGCCUGGUAGUGGGGGAUAACGUCCGGAAACGGGCGCUAAUACCGCAUACUAUCAGAUGAGCCUAGGUCGGUUUAGCUAGUGGGUGGGGUAAAGGCCUACCAAGGCGACGAUCCGUAACUGGUCUGAGAGGAGGAUCAGUCACACUGGAACGGAGACACGUCCCAGACUCCAACGGGAGGAGGCAGUGGGGAAUAUCGGAAAAGGGGCGAAAGCCUGAGCCAGCCAUGCCGCGUGUGUGUAGAAGGUCUUCGGAUUGUAAAGCACUUUAAGUUGGGAGGCGUUACCAACAGAAUAAGCAACGGCUAACUUCGUGCCAGCAGCCGCGGUAAUAC
RNAcentral lists this ribosomal RNA (407 nucleotides) under uncultured bacterium. RNAcentral's name for it is "partial 16S ribosomal RNA". It matches the Rfam family "Bacterial small subunit ribosomal RNA", at positions 30 to 526 of the family's 1533-position model. The record is from RNAcentral.